Molecule: ribosomal RNA, 520 nt
Filed under: uncultured Glomeromycotina
Lineage: Eukaryota; Fungi; Glomeromycota
Description: SSU rRNA
Rfam family: Eukaryotic small subunit ribosomal RNA
Source: RNAcentral
AGCAGCCGCGGUAAUUCCAGCUCCAAUAGCGUAUAUUAAAGUUGUUGCAGUUAAAAAGCUCGUAGUUGAAUUUCGGGAUUAGUACGCUGGUCAUGCCUUUGGUAUGUACUGGUGUUACUGGUUUCUACCUUCUGAAGAACCGUUAUGUCAUUUAUUUGGUGUGGCGGGAAAUCAGGACUGUUACUUUGAAAAAAUUAGAGUGUUUAAAGCAGGCUCGCGCUUGAAUACAUUAGCAUGGAAUAAUGAAAUAGGACGUUUGACCCUAUUUUGUUGGUUUCUAGGAUCGACGUAAUGAUUAAUAGGGAUAGUUGGGGGCAUUAGUAUUCAAUUGUCAGAGGUGAAAUUCUUGGAUUUAUUGAAGACUAACUACUGCGAAAGCAUUUGCCAAGGAUGUUUUCAUUAAUCAAGAACGAAAGUUAGGGGAUCGAAGACGAUCAGAUACCGUCGUAGUCUUAACCAUAAACUAUGCCGACUAGGGAUCGGAUGAUGUUAUUUUUAUGACUCAUUCGGCGCCUUACGG